Molecule: long non-coding RNA, 582 nt
Organism: Mytilus trossulus (common blue mussel)
Lineage: Eukaryota; Metazoa; Mollusca; Bivalvia; Mytilida; Mytilidae
Exons: 3
Source: RefSeq, a predicted model, not a curated record
UAUUUUUAUAUUCUUAGUAAUUGAUAUUAGUACAUAUUUGAAUAAAGUUAUAUUGUUAGCUUAUUAAUUACAUUCUGUAAUUAAGGAUUAGUAUUAUGUGUUAUUCUAUUUUAACUUAUUGACAUGGACUAUUGACGGACGAAUUCUAUUCUUAUGGUUUGGUUAAGUCUGAUUUCACUGUAGUUAUCACUUUAUUUUCACGGUUGAUUUGACCGCUUUCGGACAAUUCUACUAUUGGUCAGUACUUUUGGCGGUUUAAUUCUUUUGUUCGAUAUCUUAUGGGAAGACAUCUUGUGGUCAACACCUAUAUUUACCUGCCUGCAAAUUAACAACUUUAUAAAUUAAUCUAUAACAAUUCUGUGAUUGGAGUUUCAUUUAUAAGGUAUAUUUAAACCUUACUGUACUAAAGAUGUAGUGUAUAAUAUUGUUUAUAUGGAAAUGUGCCACUUGCACGAUAUGUGAGGGCUUUAUUUACAUUACCAUUACUUCGUUAGUCUGAAAUAAAAGUUACAGAACCCUAUUCAGAAGUUUAGUUAUUAUUUACUGAAAGCCUCAAGAAACCGGCUUUUACAUUGGCGCCCA